AAUUGAGUCCGGCCUUGCUUCGCCCUGCAUCAAUCAGUCAGGCCCGCCUUGGUUCGCCCUGCAUCGAUCAGUCAAGCUUGACUUGAAUGGAUCGGAUUGAAGAUCGGCGGCUCGAUGAGUACCAACGCCCAACAUUUGCCUGAAUCAGUUGACUGGAACCUUGAUGAACACAACCUGUACAAAAUUGAGAUCGGAAAGACAUUAGCACCUGAAAAACCAUCUCCAAACCUAGCAAUCUUUUGCGGCGGCCGAGAUAUGGAGUGGCACUGCUAAUAGAAUUAAGGAAUAUGGGUCAAAAAAUAAGAUGAACAAAAGCGGUUGCGGUUGUACCAGAGGGACCGGGAGCAGUAGGGGUGGUGGCAGCAACCCAAAGCAUCACUCGCUAUCAUCGUCAGU
Molecule: long non-coding RNA, 396 nt
Filed under: Triticum aestivum (bread wheat)
Lineage: Eukaryota; Viridiplantae; Streptophyta; Magnoliopsida; Poales; Poaceae
Description: long non-coding RNA (TAES_LNC022241)
Source: RNAcentral